Molecule: ribosomal RNA, 253 nt
Filed under: uncultured bacterium
Lineage: Bacteria
Description: partial 16S ribosomal RNA
Rfam family: Bacterial small subunit ribosomal RNA
Source: RNAcentral
UACGGAGGAUCCGAGCGUUAUCCGGAUUUACUGGGCGUAAAGCGCGUGUAGGCGGCUUUAUAAGUUGGAUGUGAAAGCUCCCGGCUUAACUGGGAGAGGACGUUCAAAACUAUAGAGCUUGAGUACGAGAGAGGAAAAUGGAAUUCCGGGUGUAGUGGUGAAAUGCGUAGAUAUCCGGAGGAACACCAGUGGCGAAGGCGGUUUCCUGGCCUGAUACUGACACUGAGGCACGAAAGCGUGGGGAUCAAACAGG